Molecule: long non-coding RNA, 2086 nt
Filed under: Salmo salar (Atlantic salmon)
Lineage: Eukaryota; Metazoa; Chordata; Actinopteri; Salmoniformes; Salmonidae
Description: lncRNA (ENSSSAG00000097762.1)
Source: RNAcentral
CUGGGUGUCAAGUGUUAUCCAUUUUUGCUCAUCAGAUAGACCAUGUCGACACACCACACACACACACACACACACACACUAUAACAUAUAACUCACCACAGUAGCAACAGAAGGGAAGUUUCAUCGCACGUGUAGUCUUCCCAUUCGCCUUACAAGACACCAACACACUGCUCCUGUAGAGAUUAUUGUGUUUUCCUGACCACCGGUAUCUGAAUGAAAAGUUACUCUGGUCCGACCAGCUCUUGUCUCUGAACAGGCCGAUCCAUGCAUACAGGUAGCCCUUUGGUACCAUCUUCCCUAUCUUCUUGCUCUCAUUCAGGUUCCUCACACUGGCCAGGUCUGUGUAGUGCUCUUUGCUGUAGCUCUGUGCCACAUCCCAGGUCAGAGUUUCAUUUGACAAGAUGAUUCUCUCAGAAAUGUUGUUGUCUCUCUUCCAAAUAUCAAAUGCUUCUUGAAAUCCCAGUAAUAUUUCCCCAAAAAUCUUUACUUGUUUUAAUUCAUGUUUGUGUCUUAAUAACUUGAUAUAGUGUGUCACUUUCAGUGCAUAUGCAUGUUAAAGUAUGUGUUUGCAAACAUGAUGCGUUAAAGGUCCAAUGCAGCCAUUUUUAUCUCAAUAUCAAAUCAUUUCUGGAUAACAAUUAAGUACCUUUCAAUGAAAAUGGUCAAAAGAAAUAAAAAUAGCUUCUUAGCAAAGAGCAAACUGAAAAUGUGCUGUUAUUGGCAGAGAGGUUUGGAACUCUCUUUCUUAUUGGUCUAAUAACUCAUUUACCACAUGGUUAUGUCAACAUGGAAGGCCAAAACUCCAUCUCAUCAAAACAGGCUGAAAUUUCAGGUGCUCUUUUCAAACACCUCUCCUGGGCUUUUCACACACGACACUGUCUAGAAUGGUGUGACAAACAAAAAACAUCCAGUCAGCAGAAAUCCUGUGGGCAAAAACAGCUUGUUCAUGAUAGAGGCCGAAGGAGAAUGGCAAGAAUCCUGCAAGCUAACACGUGGGCCAUAAACAGACAAAUAACGGUGCAGUACGAACAUCCUUGUCACAGAUGGGCUAUUGCAGCAGACGACCACACCCGGUUCCACUCUUAUCAGCUAAAAACAAGAAGAAGUGGCUCCAGUGGGCACUCGAUCACCAACACUAGACAAUUGAAGAAUAGAAAAACAAUCGCCUGGAACAUGACAGCGAGUUCAUUUUACCUGAGUGGACUGCACAGUCCCCAGACCUCAACCCAAUAGACCAUCUCUUGGAUGAGUUGUAACGGCUGUUCGCAGCAUGAAUGUACCGCCAGCAUUUAUCGCGUCAGCAUGGACCAACAUCCCUGUUGAACGGUUCGACACUUUGUAGAAUGCCCCAGAGAAUUCAGGCCGUUCUGGAUGUAAAUGGGGGGUACGAGGGUGGGUGGGUGUACCUAAUGAAUGUGACUGUAUAUAAAACACAGGAAAAUCACUGGGCCUUUAAAUAAAACAAAACACAGGAAAAUCACUGGGCCUUUAAAAAGAGAGUCUAUUUCCCGCACCCGUGCAUCAAUCUAAGUAACAUGGGCUACGUCUAAACCCACUGCAUCCACCUAUAUAUCGGCCUUCCGCAUCUGCGGUGGAAGGUGGCCAAGCUAUAGCAGUGUUUGAGAUUCUCCCGAACAAGAUGGGGGUCUCUUUUAUGCUCUACAAUCCCCACAAGUGUCAGGGGACUUGUCUGAAGGUAACCAGUACUGGUUUACCUACAGUAUUGUGGACAUUGCCACUGGAUGCGCCGAGUCGCAUUAGAAGAUAUUCCAUGCAGCAGCAUUACAAGUUCCAACACUAGAAUGUGUGAUGUUGUAGUCUUCUAACACGGGUGGGAUACAGUAUACAAGGAAGUGUAUGGUUUUGUGACAUUGAACCGCUAACCGUUUUGACAGGUCUAACCUAGUUCCAUCUCUGAUAGUCUUUGGUGUAUUUACAGCUCUGUGUUUGUACUAACAUGUUCUCAACAUUGUAUCAGAUAGAGAAGUAUUUUUCAAGCUUUCAAUUGUGCUUGCUGCUAUGGUGCUCUCAAUGCAGUGUGAUGUAAGCAAAAAAACAAAAAUUUUGGGGUAACUUUCAACCAGCG